CGCAAACAUCAUCACACAUGAUCCACAGAAACAUGAGUCAGGCUUCACUGUGCUUCAGAACCAGUCAGAACCAAUGAAGGAUCAAUAUUAAGUCCUCACAGGGAGAACAGCCAAGUGAUUAAUUCAGUGGACAUUUAGUCAACAAGAGUAAAAGACAGGAAGGGUAAAGUUCACAACAGUUAGCUGCGUACAGACGAAACAACUCUGUUAAAGUUUGUUUCCACCAGGAUACUAAAUGUAUUUGUUUUUAAACCAAAUAACCACUUUCAUAUUUUAAUAAUUAACUGAAUUCAGCCUAAACCAACAAUCACAACACGGCUGUGAUAAGAGAAGAAGGUGUGAGGAGCAGAUAAAAGAUGUCUGUGGAUGUGUGGCUGCUCACAGAUCAGACAAAAUGGAGGCUGUAACACUGAGUUACUCUGUGAGAUGAGCCGGCAGUGGUUGCUACGAGCAACAGGAUGUUCAGCUGAAACCAAACUGGAGCAGAACAGAAGUACUGAGGUGGUGAAGCUGACGGGUCACGGUUUCAAAAAGAAACCAGGUUUGAGUCCUUUAAGGCAAAACAACAUCUUUUAUGAGAGCUUUUAUAUCUGCAUGUGUGCUGAAGGCGACACUGCUGACUGAGUUAAGUUUGGAUCAGACAGGAUGUCUGUGUUCAUUCACAGAUCCAGAACAUCAUUAUCAGAAGCACGACACAAAUUUCACUGUUGAACAAAGACAAACAAAAUUAGGAGUGAGGAAAGCAGAUAUGUAUGGAUAGAAAAACCUGAUUUAAAAUGUUAUUUGUUUUAAAAGACAUUAAGUUAAUAUAUUAAAUAGCUGAAUGUGUCUGUGUGUCCAUCCUGAUGUCAGACUGAUCAGUGAUGUCACCGCCCUCGUCACUGUAACGAGGUUGUUUUGGUGAAGAAGACUCUUAAUGAGGUGAUGAGAUGAAUAAGUGAGUAAACCAGCUGCUCUCUGCAGCUAUGAAGGUGGCAGGGUCCGCCACAUGUAAACACAGUAAAACAGUAUAAAUUGUGUUUCUUUAUUCAGUCAUGAAAACAAGUAGAGUUUGUUUAUUUGGUCUGUUCAGGCAGAGAGAUCGUUUUAUCUUCUCUACAGAAUACACCUUUAAUUCUUGUCCUCCAUCAAACAUUAAGAGUUGAAAUCAUUUAGAAUAAAAUGAGAGAAGUGUUCUCUGAGCGGUGUUUGAUGUGGUCCGAUCUCUGAGCCUUUGCUGCACCUUGCUACCUGAAACGUGACCCAUAUUUACCCUGUAAUCCAGAGGUCGUGCUGUGACAGACAGAGGAACAAUGAAAUACUAAAGAAACAAAGAGCCCACGUUUGAGCCUGAGAUUGAAAAGAGACGACAACAUGGUGUAAUCCCUUUGGCUAGAGUUGCUGACGGGGGAUAACCCUUUAAAAUGGCCCCUCUCUCCUGUGCUGCCUCUGUUCAGCGCCCCCCACCAGCCCCUGCCUGUCUUUCUCCACACAGACGGACCGACCGACUGAACCGCUGGUACCACCGGCCCGUAAAGACACCUGCUCUCACAAACACAGGAAGCCGCGGCCAGCAGCACCUGUCCAGCUUCACUGACACCUCAAACCACUCGUGGCUUCCACCCAAACCAGGGAGAGGUAGAACCAUUCUGAGGCAGAACCAGAAUCACAGCUCUUCACUUCAGGACCCAGAACCGAGCCGGGCCGUCGGAUCAUGAUUGAGAGUGACAGAGAGCUGUCUGCCAUGGUGCAGGAGCUGUGGGACAACGACGUCAACAGACUCAAACCUGGAGUGGACUACAAGAUCUCUCUGCAGGGCAAAGCUGGAGACAGCAUGCCCACCAACAAUGACGACAACAGUGACGGAGCGGGAUAUCCUCUCUUCACUUAUGUGGAUGAGAACAUUUUCAAGAAGGAGACUUUUCUGGCCUUUAUCUCCCUGUUGGAUAACUAUGAGAGUGACACCGGCGAGCCAGAGAUCGUGACCCCUGAGGAGGUGGCAGAGAACCACAAGUUCCUGGACUCCAUCAUUAAGACUCCCACUAUGAAGAUUGCUCAUAAAUACCUGGCAGAGAAGAAUCUCUCUCCAGCAGAUGACACAAAGUUCAAGGAGCAGCUGUAUAGGAUCUGGUUUGAGCUGUAUGCCAGGAGAGGAUCCAGCAGGCCGGACUCUUCAGGGUUCGAACACGUGUUUGUCGGAGAGACGAGAGGAAGGCGGAUCGUCAUCGGCUUUCACAACUGGAUCCAGCUCUACUUACAAGAGAAGCUUGGACACAUUGACUACAAAGGCUACAGCGUCAACGCACAUUCACCUCAGCCCGACGAGAACAAACACAUCCUGGCGCUACAGUUCAGCUGGAAGAACGGCAUAAAGCCCAAGGGCAGCAUCUUCAUCGGCGUCAGUCCCGAGUUUGAGUUCGCCCUCUACACCCUCUGUUUCCUCACCUCGCCCAAUGAGCGCGUCAAAGUCCAGUUCAGUUUCUAUGACGUGGAGAUUGUUUGCCACCACUACAACCAAAAGCACAUUGGCACCACCUACCCGGUGCUCCUUAAGUACCAGAAGCCUUUGUAAACUCGACACCAUCAGUUUGAGAUGAAACUUCUCCAACUCUUGAACUUGCAUACAAAGUGUCACAGUUUCACUCUGUUCCAUGUGGGGGCGGUAGAGAGUUUGUUGUGGCCGAUGACGUCAAUCACUUGGAGAGAAGGAGU
Molecule: RNA transcript, 2691 nt
Organism: Acanthopagrus latus (yellowfin seabream)
Lineage: Eukaryota; Metazoa; Chordata; Actinopteri; Spariformes; Sparidae
Gene: endou2
Gene name: endonuclease, polyU-specific 2
Exons: 8
Source: RefSeq, a predicted model, not a curated record